GUUUAGCUAAAUGUUGAUGCUAUAAAAACAGCUAUGGCCAUUUUCUAUCAAGAUAUUUUUUGGGCUUUUAACCUUCAUUUGAGAGAGACAGCCUAAGACUGACAGGAAGGUGGGGGAAUGACAUACAACCACAAACAAGAGACCUUGAGCAUUUAGAGGAUGGGUGGUUAACAAUAAGGGAAUUUCUAAGCAAUUCACAUGAGAGAAGUGCUCCCCAUCCAGUCGCCAAAAACAAAAAUUUGUAUAGAUUUAUCCAGUUGUUUUUUAAACCAAAUCCCAAUAUUUAUCUGGUGUUUCCCAAAGUCUUGGUGUCUAAUUAGGCAUGUUAAAGUGAAUAAUUUUUUAUCCCUUUUCAACUGGUCAAAAAUGGUUACAUUUGUCAUGUCCUUCAUAUCUAAUCAUAUCGCAAUGUUCUAACGUUUUAUAUACUUUAAACUUGAAUUGGUGACUGGACAAUGUUUAUUACAUAUUUAUGAGUAAGAUAAUCUUCGGGUUCCUAAUUAUUACAUUAUAUAUACCAUUUCUGUAUGGAAUACUUUUUGACCUGUUAUCCCUCCCUAAAAAAACCACCUAAAAUGUUCAGUUAUUCAACUGUAUGGAGGGGUGGAGUGGAAUGUUAAGGAACUGAGCUGGUAAGUUGGCAACUUAUUUGGAAUAUAUACAUUAGAUCAGAUAUACAUCAGUCUCAAACCUCAAACUAUUGAUCUCCUUCCAAUAGGCCAAGCCAAACACCUCCAAAGGUCCUGAAAUUGAGUGGUGAUAUUAUUGUCAACAUGGUCCUCCUUCAACGUGGACCUGUUUCUGCAUUCAGUCACAACGUUUAUGAAUGAGAGUGAGAGAGAGAGAGACUGACAACACUCAUAGAUGAGAGAGGGGCAUGCAAAGUAUGGACUGAAGAGAGCCAACGACUACUACAUUCACCAUGACCCUGCACAUGCAACAAAAGUCCUAUUUCUUUUGGAGUACAGCCGCCGUACCCGAUCCCCUCCACCGGCCCGCCUUCCAUACGGCAUAGGACACCACCCCGCAACACAAAGCAGCAACCAACAAUACACGAUGCGCCGCGGACAAGGGCCCCGCGAGAUGUACCGCACACCGCCCUUCCAGCGGCAGAGAGAGGAGGGCGACGGGGUGACUGCUCUUGGCUCUCGGGUGAAUGUCUUUCUUUUGAUGGAAAAAAUGUGGGAUAAUGUUAAUCAUUAAAAGUUAAAUCAACAUUAAUAAAAUCUAAAUACUGAAAAAUUUCCACUGUAUUUAUCACAGUAAAAUUCUGGAAACCACAGCUGGCAGUUUUUUCUGGGGUGCGCAUUAUACAUGGGUACAAACAUUUUUUAUUAUUAUUUUUUUAAAUCCGGAUAUG
Syngnathus typhle (broad-nosed pipefish) is the source of this 1360-nucleotide long non-coding RNA. RefSeq lists it as uncharacterized. NCBI's taxonomy places the organism in Eukaryota, Metazoa, Chordata, Actinopteri, Syngnathiformes, Syngnathidae. The transcript has 3 exons. The record is from RefSeq and is a predicted model, not a curated record.